RNAcentral lists this ribosomal RNA (516 nucleotides) under Siphonognathus argyrophanes (tubemouth). Its description in RNAcentral is "partial 16S ribosomal RNA". It matches the Rfam family "Bacterial large subunit ribosomal RNA", at positions 1856 to 2571 of the family's 2925-position model. The record is from RNAcentral. Lineage: Eukaryota; Metazoa; Chordata; Actinopteri; Labriformes; Odacidae.
UGCCUGCCCAGUGACAAAUGUUCAACGGCCGCGGUAUUUUGACCGUGCGAAGGUAGCGCAAUCACUUGUCUUUUAAAUGAAGACCUGUAUGAAUGGCAACACGAGGGCUUGACUGUCUCCUCUCCCAAGUCAAUGAAAUUGAUCUCCCCGUGCAGAAGCGGGGAUACUUACAUAAGACGAGAAGACCCUAUGGAGCUUUAGACAUAAAGCAGCCCGCGUUAAGCGCCCCUCAAGAAGGGGCAGAAACAAGCCGAGCUCUGCCCGAAUGUCUUUGGUUGGGGCGACCGCGGGGCAAUACAAAACCCCCAUGUGGRCCGGGGUUACUAACCCCACAGCCGAGAGCUCCCGCUCUAAGCACCAGAACCAUCUGGCCAAACAGAUCCGGCAACGCCGAUCAACGAACCGAGUUACCCUAGGGAUAACAGCGCAAUCCUCUUCUAGAGCCCAUAUCGACAAGGGGGUUUACGACCUCGAUGUUGGAUCAGGAUAUCCUAAUGGUGCAGCCGCUAUUAAGGG